AUACGGAGGAUCCGAGCGUUAUCCGGAUUUAUUGGGUUUAAAGGGUGCGCAGGCGGCCAUUUAAGUCAGCGGUUAAAUCGUGGGGCUCAACCCCAUUCUGCCGUUGAUACUGGGUGGCUUGAUUGCGGUCGAGGUUGGCGGAAUUCGUUGUGUAGCGGUGAAAUGCAUAGAUAUGACGAAGAACCCCGAUUGCGUAGGCAGCUGACCAGACCGCAAAUGACGCUCAUGCACGAAAGUGCGGGGAUCGAACAGGAUUAGAUACCCUGGUAGUCCGCACAGUAAACGAUGAAUACUUGUUUUCGGCGAUAUAAUGUCGGAGGCAAAGCGAAAGCGAUAAGUAUUCCACCUGGGGAGUACGCCGGCAACGGUGAAACUCAAAUGAAUUGGCGGGG
Molecule: ribosomal RNA, 392 nt
Filed under: uncultured bacterium
Lineage: Bacteria
Description: partial 16S ribosomal RNA
Rfam family: Bacterial small subunit ribosomal RNA
Source: RNAcentral